This 408-nucleotide ribosomal RNA is filed under the name uncultured eukaryote. Its description in RNAcentral is "bacterial SSU rRNA". It matches the Rfam family "Eukaryotic small subunit ribosomal RNA", at positions 116 to 462 of the family's 1831-position model. The record is from RNAcentral.
GCCGCAAAAAUUGUUUUGGUUUCCGCAUCAUUGGGAUAACUUGGCGAAAACGCCAAGCUAAAUACAUGAACCAACGGAAUGGCCCCGAUCAGCGCGGGUGUCGGCUCUUGCUGGCACCUGCGUGCGAGCCAUUCAGCGAAUGAAUGAAAUUAAAACCGGCGCCGCGGACGCGGCAGCAACACCCAGAAGUGUUGAAUCAAUUCAUUCGAGCGAAAGCUGGGAUUUCCUGGCGUUUUUUGAUGAACAACUGCCCUAUCAGCCAGUGAUGGCCGUGUAGUGGACUGCCAUGGCGUUGACGGGAGCGGGGGAUUAGGGUUCGAUUCCGGAGAGGGAACCUGAGAAAUAGCUACCACUUCUACGGAGGGCAACANGCGCGCAAAAUUGCCCAAUGUCGAGAAAAUACGAUGA